GAUGGAGCAACUGUGGAUGCCUGGCUGUGUUUCCAUAAAGGGAGAUGCCGCCACACCAGCACCUCCUCAUUUUAAAAAUU
Long non-coding RNA from Daphnia pulicaria, 80 nucleotides. RefSeq lists it as uncharacterized. Lineage: Eukaryota; Metazoa; Arthropoda; Branchiopoda; Diplostraca; Daphniidae. The transcript is spliced from 2 exons. The record is from RefSeq and is a predicted model, not a curated record.